CCACUACUCUCUGCAACAAACUCCUCCUGACUCUGGGCGGCCCGCUGCCAGAUGGUUACAGACAUCGCUAUCAGUUUGUUGCCCCCUCCGCCUAUAAAAGGGGGGACCCCAGAUACAUUAUUCUCUAAGCUCUAUUUUCUAUCCCAAAACUCUGCUAAAAUUUUUGUUCGAGCACUCCAUUCUUGUUGAGGCAGAGAACUGACUUGAGCAUCGGAGGAUCUUGCCGG
RNAcentral lists this long non-coding RNA (227 nucleotides) under Elaeis guineensis (African oil palm). Its description in RNAcentral is "long non-coding RNA (EGUI_LNC066195)". Lineage: Eukaryota; Viridiplantae; Streptophyta; Magnoliopsida; Arecales; Arecaceae. The record is from RNAcentral.